UACGUAGGGGGCAAGCGUUGUCCGGAAUCAUUGGGCGUAAAGAGCGUGUAGGCGGCUUGGUAAGUCCGCUGUGAAAGUCCAGGGCUCAACCCUGGAAAGCCGGUGGAAACUGUCAAGCUUGAGUCCGGAAGAGGCGAGUGGAAUUCCUGGUGUAGCGGUGAAAUGCGCAGAUAUCAGGAGGAACACCAAUGGCGAAGGCAGACU
Molecule: ribosomal RNA, 204 nt
Filed under: uncultured bacterium
Lineage: Bacteria
Description: partial 16S ribosomal RNA
Rfam family: Bacterial small subunit ribosomal RNA
Source: RNAcentral